Molecule: unclassified non-coding RNA, 329 nt
Filed under: soil metagenome
Description: partial contains 5.8S ribosomal RNA, internal transcribed spacer 2, and large subunit ribosomal RNA
Rfam family: 5.8S ribosomal RNA (bases 1-121)
Source: RNAcentral
GAUGAAGAACGUAGCGAAUUGCGAUAUGUAAUGUGAAUUGCAGAUUUUCAGUGAAUCAUCGAAUCUUUGAACGCACAUUGCGCCCCUUGGUAUUCCGAGGGGCAUGCCUGUUCGAGCGUCAUUAUAACCCUCAAGCUCAGCUUGGUGUUGGGGCCUGCUGCACUGGCAGCCCUUAAAAUCAGUGGCGGCGCCAUCUGGCUCUAAGCGUAGUAAUUCUUCUCGCUAUGGAGUCCUGGUGGAUGCUUGCCAUCAACCCCCAAUUUUUCUAUGGUUGACCUCGGAUCAGGUAGGGAUACCCGCUGAACUUAAGCAUAUCAAUAAGCGGAGGA